Molecule: transfer RNA, 72 nt
Filed under: Camelus bactrianus (Bactrian camel)
Lineage: Eukaryota; Metazoa; Chordata; Mammalia; Artiodactyla; Camelidae
Also listed under: 3 other names
Rfam family: tRNA
About the family: Transfer RNA (tRNA) molecules are approximately 80 nucleotides in length. Their secondary structure includes four short double-helical elements and three loops (D, anti-codon, and T loops).
Source: Rfam by way of RNAcentral
UGGGGUACAGCUCAGUGGUAAAGCAUGUGUUUAACAUGCUUGAGGUCCUGGUUUCAAUUCCCAGUACCUCCA